Molecule: ribosomal RNA, 493 nt
Filed under: uncultured bacterium
Lineage: Bacteria
Description: bacterial SSU rRNA
Rfam family: Bacterial small subunit ribosomal RNA
Source: RNAcentral
GGCUCAGAUUGAACGCUGGCGGCAGGCCUAACACAUGCAAGUCGAGCGGUAGAGAGGUGCUUGCAUCUCUUGAGAGCGGCGGACGGGUGAGUAAUGCCUAGGAAUCUGCCUGGUGGUGGGGGGAUAACGUUCGGAAACGGACGCUAAUACCGCAUACGUCCUACGGGAGAAAGCGGGGGGAUCUUCGGACCUCGCGCCAUUAGAUGAGCCUAGGUCGGAUUAGCUAGUUGGUGAGGUAAUGGCUCACCAAGGCGACGAUCCGUAACUGGUCUGAGAGGAUGAUCAGUCACACUGGAACUGAGACACGGUCCAGACUCCUACGGGAGGCAGCAGUGGGGAAUAUUGGACAAUGGGCGAAAGCCUGAUCCAGCCAUGCCGCGUGUGUGAAGAAGGUCUUCGGAUUGUAAAGCACUUUAAGUUGGGAGGAAGGGUAGUAACCUAAUACGUUGCUACUUUGACGUUACCGACAGAAUAAGCACCGGCUAACUACGUG